This is a long non-coding RNA of Alnus glutinosa, 641 nucleotides long. RefSeq lists it as uncharacterized. The transcript has 2 exons. The record is from RefSeq and is a predicted model, not a curated record. Lineage: Eukaryota; Viridiplantae; Streptophyta; Magnoliopsida; Fagales; Betulaceae.
AUAGAUUUGCUAAUGCAAUUGUAAUCUGUUGAAAAUUUUGAAGAGAUAUUGAUAGGAUUAAUAUAUAUGAUAUAAUUGCUUUAACACUCUUAAAUUGUAUAUGGAUGUCAUUAAAUUGAGGAUAUACCCCAGUUCUAUUGCUUUUUGUGGUGCUGCAUUGUUUUGAGGCUGCGGUUGGCUUAGCUGGAGAUGGAUGGGUGUGUCCAGAUCAAAUCCAUUGCUGAUAGUGCAUGGAGCAAAAAGCUUUCAGUUAGCAGAGUUUUGAUUUGAAGCGGAUUGGGUUCAUUCGUGAAGGUGAUUCAUAUAGAAGAAGGCCAGAGGUUCUGGAACCACUGCAAAGGGAGAUGAACGUGUUGUUUACUGUGGUUACAAGAUUGGGUCUUCAGAGUUACUAAGGUUUUGUAGGUAGAUCAAUUUGUAACACAAAACUUCUAUAGUGAAUGCCUUUAGGGUUGGCUGACCCCUGUAGUGGUUUUACUUUUUGAAGAGUUUUUCAAAAUGUUUUCCACUUCGGUAUCAAAAUCUGUAUUGAUUUCUUUUACUGUUUUCUUGAUUUUGGUAUUGAUAUAUGUGGUGGUUGGAUUUGAAGUUGAUAACUUUGUUAAUCUGACUAGAAAUUUAAAAUUGAGAUUUUUUUUGAA